GGAAGUUUGCUCACAUUUACAGCGGUGACAAUGAGAGACCGUGACAAGGACACGUUGGUGCCAGACUCAUCCUGACUGCUGGGAGGAUGGCGGGGGGAUCCCCACUCACCCCUGCUUGGCAUAGCUGGGCAUCCCUGCUGUACCCUGCAGUUAACGCUCAGUGCUGCUGCAACACCACAGCCUGCUGACGGGCACCGUGGAGCAUGCCAGGCUCCAGAGAAAGUGCCACCUCGAAAGCUGCACCCCCCUCCAGACGCUGCUGCCAUCAGACACAGGUACCCAGGAGCACUCCAUUAGCGUGCAGCACUGAGAUGCUCGCCAGUCCAUCUCUAUGGAUAUAACAAAAGAAAUCUACCAUCUGAACUACAGCCAUCGGGACGAGGUGUCGCCCGGCUGCGCCGCGCAGGGAUCCGGCUGGAGGAACGCGCAGGUCUUCAUGCGUCGUCGGCCCCAGGACUGCCUGAGCCUGCUGGAGAUUGCCCUGGUGUUAAAUACUAUGGGGUGCAUCCAUAGCCUAAGCUGCAAACCCAAAGUCUUCCGAGAGACUAUCGCCGUGCUGGACGUCAAAGCCUCCAUCGACUCCACCCCCACCAGCAUCGACGAAUCCUCCAGCGUCGUCCUCCGAUACAGGACCCCACAUUUCCGAGCCAGCGCCCAAGUCCUGGUGCCUCCGAUUUCUGGGAAAGACUCGUGGAGAGUGGGCUGGAUCCAGGCCUGUAACCACAUGGAGUUCUACAACCACUACGGGGACCUGGGAAUGUCUAGUUGGGAACUUCCGGAUCUCCUGAGUGGCAAGAUCCCCGCCAUCAGUGACUCAGAUGGCGUCAACUACCCCUGGUAUGGCAAUACCACCGAGACCUGCACUGUUACCGGCCCCACCAAGCGGGACACCAAGUUUACCGUCAGUAUGAAUGACAACUUCUACCCGAGCGUGACGUGGGCAGUGCCUGUCAGCGCUUCCAAUGUGCCUAUGUUGACUGGCAUCCAGAGGGACCAAAGUUUUACCACUUGGCUGGUGGCCAUCAACCUGUCCAGCGGUGACCUGGUCAUCCUGCACACCAUCAAGUGGAGGAUGAAACUGGAGAUCGAGGUCAAGCCGACCUUACCGCUGGGACAACGAGCCAAACUACAGGAACCUUUUGCACAGGAACAGCCACGAGUCCUCAACAAGAACGAGCCCGUACCUCCCAGCGCUCUUGUGAAACCAAAUGCCAACGAUGCCCAGGUGCUUAUGUGGAGGCCUAAGAACAAACCAGCCGUGGUCGUGAUACCCCCAAAAAGGCGGUGAACCCAGCAAACCAGGCAAUAGCUGCUAAGUAAAUAGACCUAACAACCAAAAUCCUCGCCCAAGGUCCUGCUGUUAUUUUGUGCAGUUCUCAGGGCAUCACUGUGGUAUUUUAUGCUGGUGGACCUUGGUUUGGGACACGAUGACACUGAAGGUGGUAGUUUCUGUAGACCCUCCACCAGCUUUUAUCGGGCGCCCGGACUGCCCGCUGCACUGCUCCAUGUCAGGUUGGACGUAGAGUCCAUUCUUUCCCAUGACGCAUGAAGCUCGAGAUGUUCUCCGUACUUCAUUCUCAUGUGAUAUUUAUGACUUUUUUUUCCCCCCACAAAUGUUGUUCUCAUCGUCAAGAAGUUGCCAAAAGAUCCUCAGCUCCCUCAACCCCCUAAGAGGCACUGUUCUUGUCUGCCUUUCAUAAAGAUGGAGGACUUUGGAGUAGACCUUAGUGAAGCUGAGCAAUGGGUGGAGACCUUGAUGAACCUCAGGUAUUGGAGUAAGCUUUAGUGUAGCUAUAGUAUGAGGUGGGCUUUAUUGAAGCCGAGGUAUGAGGUGGGCUUUACUUAAGCUGAGGUAUGAGGUGGGCUUUAUUAAAGCUGAGGUAUGAGGUUUGUAGUGCGGCAUGGCUGAUGGAAUGCUGUUGAUAGGCCAAUCUCAGGGGUAAUCUAGUCCAUAGAUAGCAGGGGGAUGGGCGAGCAUUGCAGGGCAUUGCUUCCAUGUCCCUUUUACUUGAUGCAGCUGCUUAUUUAUUUUUUGAGAAUUAUGGUACAAAUGAUAACACAUGAGGCGCUGCCAUGUCAGGAGAGCAUCCCAGGGCGGCCAUCAGGGUGGUACUGGCGGUACUGCAGUCAGGGGCCCGGACUGAUCGGUGACAUUGGCAGCCUCAUGAAUAUUCACUUCUGUGCAGUAUUAGUAAAGCAGCAUCUCUGGCUUCCGAUGGUUGGGGGCCCUUCCCCAGCACAUAGAUGUUUUACUAAAGAAACAAAUUGACAGACGCUCUGUGCAGCAGGCAGAAGACUCACCAUCACCCUAUAGACCUGCCAUUCUGAGGAGAUAGUAUUUUUUUGUGCUUAAGGAGCUGUUUUCUUCAGACAUAAUAUUAAAUAAAUAGUAUAUUACUGAAAUGGAGAAAACUUACGGCAUUUUUAUUUACACUGUUUACCCAUCACCAUAAAUAACGUGUUCACAAAACGGUAGAAGUUAACAAAAAUGUAUUCAUUUCCUGUAGCCCGUAGGCAGCACAGUCACGAAUGGGUUAAAGUCCUCUGGGUACAACUAGACAGAGACAGGUUAAUAAACAGCAGUCCAAUCGCCACGGCCCCUAUAAACCUCAGCAGGAGGAAGGCGCCGGUGUCCUUCAGUUGUGCCGCCUACGGACUGCAGGAAAUCACAAUUUCAGGUAAAUACAUUUUCGUUUUCCUGGAUGUCCUACGGCAGCACGGUCACGAAUGGGACUUAUUAAGCAGUGUAUGUUGUGAGGAUGCCCAGCUGGUGAUCUAUGGCGAAGAUGGUGACCAGUGGUACGUGCCCCAGAUCAGCCCAGUGUGCAGAGGGACUGAUGAAACUGGUAGCAUUUCUCAACAGAUCCCCUGAGCUGGUGGCAUUACUUGUUCUCUGGCCCUUAUUGUGUCCUUGAUGCUGAAGAAACAGGGUCUCCGAUGUUCUGAAGGGAACUGUCCUUUCCAUAUAUAUUAAAGGGUUUGUCCCACCA
This is an RNA transcript of Bufo bufo (common toad), 2990 nucleotides long. It is a transcript of the gene named family with sequence similarity 78 member A, with no coding region annotated. The record is from RefSeq and is a predicted model, not a curated record. The transcript is spliced from 6 exons. Lineage: Eukaryota; Metazoa; Chordata; Amphibia; Anura; Bufonidae.